Molecule: ribosomal RNA, 755 nt
Filed under: uncultured cyanobacterium
Lineage: Bacteria; Bacillati; Cyanobacteriota
Description: bacterial SSU rRNA
Rfam family: Bacterial small subunit ribosomal RNA
Source: RNAcentral
GAUGAACGCUGGCGGUCUGCUUAACACAUGCAAGUCGAACGGGCUCUUCGGAGCUAGUGGCGGACGGGUGAGUAACGCGUGAGGAUCUGCCCUUAGGACGGGGACAACAGCUGGAAACGGCUGCUAAUACCCGAUGUGCCGAGAGGUGAAACUAUUUGGCCUGAGGAUGAGCUCGCGUCUGAUUAGCUAGUUGGAGUGGUAACGGCACACCAAGGCGACGAUCAGUAGCUGGUCUGAGAGGAUGAUCAGCCACACUGGGACUGAGACACGGCCCAGACUCCUACGGGAGGCAGCAGUGGGGAAUUUUCCGCAAUGGGCGAAAGCCUGACGGAGCAAGACCGCGUGCGGGAGGAAGGUCUAUUGAUUGUAAACCGCUUUUGAUAGGGAAGAAGAUCUGACGGUACCUAUCGAAUCAGCAUCGGCUAACUCCGUGCCAGCAGCCGCGGUAAUACGGGGGAUGCAAGCGUUAUCCGGAAUUAUUGGGCGUAAAGCGUCCGUAGGUGGUUUUAAAAGUCUGUUGUCAAAUCGCGAGGCUCAACCUCGUACAGGCAGUGGAAACUAUAAGACUAGAGUGCGGUAGGGGUAGAGGGAAUUUCCAGUGUAGCGGUGAAAUGCGUAGAUAUUGGAAAGAACACCGGUGGCGAAGGCGCUCUACUGGGCCUGCACUGACACUGAGGGACGAAAGCUAGGGGAGCGAAAGGGAUUAGAUACCCCUGUAGUCCUAGCCGUAAACGAUGGAAACUAGGUGUUGCCCG